RNAcentral lists this unclassified non-coding RNA (390 nucleotides) under Zygoascus hellenicus. RNAcentral's name for it is "sequence contains ITS1, 5.8S rRNA gene, ITS2". The stretch from base 143 to 294 matches the Rfam family "5.8S ribosomal RNA". Lineage: Eukaryota; Fungi; Ascomycota; Dipodascomycetes; Dipodascales; Trichomonascaceae. The record is from RNAcentral.
UUAUAUUCUUGUGAACUUUAUAAACUUUGCUUGGGUGAAUAGUAUUGGAAACUUUACUGUUUGCCCAAAGUUUUUUACAAAAACACUUUAUUAAAAAAAAAACACCAAAACGAUUCUGAAAAUUUUAAAAAAAUUAAAUUAAAACUUUCAACAACGGAUCUCUUGGUUCUCGCAUCGAUGAAGAACGCAGCAAAAUGCGAUAAGUAAUGUGAAUUGCAGAAUUGUGAAUCAUCGAAUCUUUGAACGCACAUUGCGCCUUUUGGUAUUCCAAAAGGCAUGCCUGUUUGAGCGUGAUUACAUCUUCUUAAAUCAACUUUAUUGUUUGAAUUUAAGGUAUUGGAAAUUUUGUACUUGAUUCAUUUCAAGUACAAUUUUCUGAAAUACAUUGGU